GGAGGCGUGGCAGAGCGGUUUAAUGUAACGGUUUCGAAAACCGUCGAGGGCUAACCCCCUCCGUGAGUUCGAAUCUCACCGCCUCCGCCA
Molecule: transfer RNA, 90 nt
Filed under: Neisseria sp.
Lineage: Bacteria; Pseudomonadati; Pseudomonadota; Betaproteobacteria; Neisseriales; Neisseriaceae
Description: tRNA-Ser
Rfam family: tRNA
About the family: Transfer RNA (tRNA) molecules are approximately 80 nucleotides in length.
Source: RNAcentral